This 501-nucleotide ribosomal RNA is filed under the name uncultured Chryseobacterium sp. RNAcentral's name for it is "bacterial SSU rRNA". It matches the Rfam family "Bacterial small subunit ribosomal RNA", at positions 1 to 507 of the family's 1533-position model. The record is from RNAcentral. Lineage: Bacteria; Pseudomonadati; Bacteroidota; Flavobacteriia; Flavobacteriales; Weeksellaceae.
CGAGAGUUUGAUCCUGGCUCAGGAUGAACGCUAGCGGGAGGCCUAACACAUGCAAGCCGAGCGGUAGAGAUUCUUCGGAAUCUUGAGAGCGGCGCACGGGUGCGGAACACGUGUGCAACCUACCUUUAUCAGGGGGAUAGCCUUUCGAAAGGAAGAUUAAUACCCCAUAAUAUAUUUGAUGGCAUCAUUGAAUAUUGAAAACUCCGGUGGAUAGAGAUGGGCACGCGCAAGAUUAGAUAGUUGGUGAGGUAACGGCUCACCAAGUCAAUGAUCUUUAGGGGGCCUGAGAGGGUGAUCCCCCACACUGGUACUGAGACACGGACCAGACCCCUACGGGAGGCAGCAGUGAGGAAUAUUGGACAAUGGGUGAGAGCCUGAUCCAGCCAUCCCGCGUGAAGGACGACGGCCCUAUGGGUUGUAAACUUCUUUUGUAUAGGGAUAAACCUACUCUCGUGAGAGUAGCUGAAGGUACUAUACGAAUAAGCACCGGCUAACUCCGUG